UUUACAGGCUUAACACAUGCAAGUCGAGGGGCAGCAUGGUCUUAGCUUGCUAAGGCCGAUGGCGACCGGCGCACGGGUGAGUAACACGUAUCCAACCUGCCGUCUACUCUUGGACAGCCUUCUGAAAGGAAGAUUAAUACAAGAUGGCAUCAUGAGUCCGCAUGUUCACAUGAUUAAAGGUAUUCCGGUAGACGAUGGGGAUGCGUUCCAUUAGAUAGUAGGCGGGGUAACGGCCCACCUAGUCUUCGAUGGAUAGGGGUUCUGAGAGGAAGGUCCCCCACAUUGGAACUGAGACACGGUCCAAACUCCUACGGGAGGCAGCAGUGAGGAAUAUUGGUCAAUGGGCGAGAGCCUGAACCAGCCAAGUAGCGUGAAGGAUGACUGCCCUAUGGGUUGUAAACUUCUUUUAUAAAGGAAUAAAGUCGGGUAUGGAUACCCGUUUGCAUGUACUUUAUGAAUAAGGAUCGGCUAACUCCGUGCCAGCAGCCGCGGUAAUACGGAGGAUCCGAGCGUUAUCCGGAUUUAUUGGGUUUAAAGGGAGCGUAGAUGGAUGUUUAAGUCAGUUGUGAAAGUUUGCGGCUCAACCGUAAAAUUGCAGUUGAUACUGGAUAUCUUGAGUGCAGUUGAGGCAGGCGGAAUUCGUGGUGUAGCGGUGAAAUGCUUAGAUAUCACGAAGAACUCCGAUUGCGAAGGCAGCCUGCUAAGCUGCAACUGACAUUGAGGCUCGAAAGUGUGGGUAUCAAACAGGAUUAGAUACCCUGGUAGUCCACACGGUAAACGAUGAAUACUCGCUGUUUGCGAUAUACCGCAAGCGGCCAAGCGAAAGCGUUAAGUAUUCCACCUGGGGAGUACGCCGGCAACGGUGAAACUCAAAGGAAUUGACGGGGGCCCGCACAAGCGGAGGAACAUGUGGUUUAAUUCGAUGAUACGCGAGGAACCUUACCCGGGCUUAAAUUGCAGAUGAAUUACGGUGAAAGCCGUAAGCCGCAAGGCAUCUGUGAAGGUGCUGCAUGGUUGUCGUCAGCUCGUGCCGUGAGGUGUCGGCUUAAGUGCCAUAACGAGCGCAACCCUUGUUGUCAGUUACUAACAGGUUCCGCUGAGGACUCUGACAAGACUGCCAUCGUAAGAUGUGAGGAAGGUGGGGAUGACGUCAAAUCAGCACGGCCCUUACGUCCGGGGCUACACACGUGUUACAAUGGGGGGUACAGAGGGCCGCUACCACGCGAGUGGAUGCCAAUCCCCAAAACCUCUCUCAGUUCGGACUGGAGUCUGCAACCCGACUCCACGAAGCUGGAUUCGCUAGUAAUCGCGCAUCAGCCACGGCGCGGUGAAUACGUUCCCGGGCCUUGUACACACCGCCCGUCAAGCCAUGGGGGCCGGGGGUACCUGAAGUGCGUAACCGCGAGGAGCGCCCUAGGGUAAAACUGGUGACUGGGG
Molecule: ribosomal RNA, 1437 nt
Filed under: uncultured bacterium
Lineage: Bacteria
Description: bacterial SSU rRNA
Rfam family: Bacterial small subunit ribosomal RNA
Source: RNAcentral